This 153-nucleotide ribosomal RNA is filed under the name Klebsiella pneumoniae. Its description in RNAcentral is "partial 23S ribosomal RNA". It matches the Rfam family "Bacterial large subunit ribosomal RNA", at positions 2709 to 2865 of the family's 2925-position model. Lineage: Bacteria; Pseudomonadati; Pseudomonadota; Gammaproteobacteria; Enterobacterales; Enterobacteriaceae. The record is from RNAcentral.
CGGGGGGACAUGCCGGCACGCUGGCCGGUAGCUAAAUGCGGAAGAGAUAAGUGCUGAAAGCAUCUAAGCAUGAAACUUGCCCCGAGAUGAGUUCUCCCUGAGACUUUAAGUCUCCUGAAGGAACGUUAAAGACGAUGACGUUGAUAGGCCGGG